Molecule: ribosomal RNA, 249 nt
Filed under: Triticum aestivum (bread wheat)
Lineage: Eukaryota; Viridiplantae; Streptophyta; Magnoliopsida; Poales; Poaceae
Description: partial small subunit ribosomal RNA
Source: RNAcentral
AUGGCUCGGCCGCUGCUGGCAGUGGCCGCCAUGGUGCUCGUGCUGGCCGCCGCUGGCGCCCAUGGCUUCCGGAUCAAGGAGGCGAGCGUGGCCAGCAUCCAGCUCGGCUUCAACAACGGCAGCCUCACCUCCGUGGACCUCGUCCGGUUCUACCUGGACCGCAUCCGCGGCCUCAACCCGCUCCUCCGCCCCGUCAUCGAGGUCGCGCCGACGCCGAGCGCCGCUCCUCCUCGUCCGGCAAGUGUGUGA